Long non-coding RNA from Oxyura jamaicensis (ruddy duck), 263 nucleotides. RefSeq lists it as uncharacterized. Lineage: Eukaryota; Metazoa; Chordata; Aves; Anseriformes; Anatidae. The record is from RefSeq and is a predicted model, not a curated record. The transcript is spliced from 3 exons.
CCCAACUCUUCUGCACUGCCCACUCCUGGUUUCAGGUUCUCCUGCAAAGCGGACACAACCAGGCCCUCAUGACGUGGGUGAGCGUGGUACUUUAAAGCACGGAACAGAUCUGCAGGCUGGAAACUGAUGGGAGACAUUCUCCGGUACAAACUCGUUCACUGUGCCAUUGGUUUGUGCAGCUUCACACCGUCACAUUUACCUUGGGCUACCCCAGGCAGGCGAUGAAUCCUGUAACUGAACUAGAAAGACAGGACGUCCACUGG